Molecule: small RNA, 3063 nt
Filed under: Pongo abelii (Sumatran orangutan)
Lineage: Eukaryota; Metazoa; Chordata; Mammalia; Primates; Hominidae
Description: retained intron
Source: RNAcentral
AUUGUGCCCCUGGGAGCCGGCAGGCACGGGCAGCCUGCAGGCGGGUGCCUGGCGUGGCCUGUUUCCUGGGUCCUUGAGUUCGUACCCAGCUGGUCCUGACCCCCUCCCACAGCUGGCCCCUCCUCCCCUAUCCCAGGGUCGAGCCAAGAGGGCAUGGGCAGCCCAGCCUAGCAGGGCUUUCCCUUCCUUCCUCCUUCCCCAUAGAGGACACGCAGAGGAGCAGCUGGCUUGCCCGGAGUCCUCCGACCUUGACCCAAGAAUGCAGGGCCCACCCCGCAGCCUCCCCGCUGGGCUCAGCCUGGACGACUUCAUCCCUGGCCACCUCCAGUCCCACAUAGGGUCUUCCUCCCCGGGGACACGGGUGCCCGUGAUCCGGAAUGGUGGCUCCAACACCCUUAAUUUCCAGUUCCACGACCCCGCGCCCAGGACUGUGUGCAAUGGGGGCUACACAAGACGAGAUGCUUCGCAGCACCCGGACCCUGCGUGGUAUCAGACCUGGCCAGGCCCUGGGAGCAAGCCCUCUGCAAGCACAAAGAUCCCUGCCUCCCAGCACACCCAGAACUGGUCAGCCACGUGGACCAAGGACAGCAAGCGUCGGGACAAGCGCUGGGUCAAGUACGAGGGAAUCGGGCCCGUGGAUGAGAGCGGCAUGCCCAUUGCCCCCCGAUCCAGUGUUGACAGACCCAGAGACUGGUACCGGAGAAUGUUCCAGCAGAUUCACCGGAAAAUGCCAGACCUGCAGCUGGACUGGACCUUCGAGGAGCCACCCAGAGACCCCAGGCAUCUAGGAGCCCAGCAAAGACCUGCCCACAGGCCCGGCCCGGCAGCAUCUUCCAGUGGAAGAAGCUGGGACCACUCUGAAGAGUUACCUAGAAGCACCUUUAGCUACAGACCUGGAGCAUUCUCCACUGUGCUGCAGCCCCCAAAUCAGGUGCUCAGAUGCCGAGAAAAAGUAGACAAUGUCUGGACGGAAGAAUCCUGGAACCAGUUUCUGCAGGAACUAGAGACUGGGCAGAGGCCCAAGAAACCGCUGGUGGACGACCCUGGUGAGAAGCCCUCCCAGCCCAUUGAGGUGCUGCUGGAGAGAGAGCUGGCCAAGCUGAGCGCCGAGCUGGACAAGGACCUGCGGGCAAUUGAGACCCGACUGCCGUCCCCCAAGAGCUCGCCGGCGCCCCGACGGGCCCCGGAGCAGCGGCCCCAGGCCGGGUGAGUGGGAGACGCGGGAGGAGGAAGGGGGCUGUCCCAGGCCGGGCGGGAGGGAACGUGGCGCGGCCGGGCGGGGAGGACGGGGGCGAUCGCGGGGCCCAGCCGGGGGAGGAGGGAACCACAGAGCCGUGUCCAGGAGGGACCGCAGCGCCACUCUCUGCGGGGCGCCGUUCCCGCGCCACCGAGGGCAGCUAACUCCGAGCAGAGGACGGGGGUCGCGGCCGCCCGGGGCGCAGCGCGGUUAGGGCGGCCCCGCCACGGCCCAGGCAUUCCCGCUGGGCCCUGCCAGGCCUCACCCUUCCCGGCGCAGCGACUCGGGAAGUAGGACAUCCUGUGGAGAGCCCAGGACCCAGGAGACGCCCUGGGAGGAGGUGGCAGGGAUGGGGGCGAUGGGGGUCAGAGCGGUCUGGGGGUGACCAGGGUGGGGCGCGGAGCCCCAGGCUGGAGGCUCAGUCUCUGUGCCCCGUGCAGCUCGGCCUCAGCCUGGAGCUCCAGCUCCCCGCAUGCACCUUACCUGGGUUCCGCCCGGUCCCUGAGCUCCCACAGAAUGGCUGAUGGAGGAAGCCCCUUCCUAGGUCAGAGGGACUUUGUCUACCCUUCCUCAACCCGAGACCCUAGUGCCUCUAACGGAGGGGGCAGCCCAGCCAGGAGGGAAGAGAAGAAGAGGAAGGCCGCCAGGCUCAAGUUUGACUUCCAGGCUCAGUCCCCCAAGGAGCUGACUCUGCAGAAGGGUGACAUUGUCUACAUCCACAAGGAGGUGGACAAGAACUGGCUGGAGGGAGAGCACCACGGCCGCCUGGGCAUCUUCCCUGCUAAUUAUGUGGAGGUGCUGCCCGCAGAUGAGAUCCCGAAGCCCAUCAAGCCCCCGACCUACCAGGUGCUGGAGUAUGGAGAGGCUGUGGCCCAGUACACCUUCAAGGGGGACCUGGAGGUGGAGCUGUCCUUCCGCAAGGGAGAGCACAUCUGCCUGAUACGCAAGGUGAACGAGAACUGGUACGAGGGGCGCAUCACGGGCACAGGGCGCCAAGGCAUAUUUCCUGCCAGCUACGUGCAGGUGUCUCGUGAACCCCGGCUCCGGCUCUGUGACGACGGCCCCCAGCUCCCCACGUCUCCCCGCCUGACCGCUGCCGCCCGUUCAGCCCGUCACCCCAGCUCCCCCUCAGCCCCACGCAGCCCAGCUGACCCCACUGACUGGGUGGGGCAGACCUCCCCCCGUCGCACUGGCUUCUCCUUCCCCACCCAGGAGCCUAGACCCCAGACCCAGAAUCUUGGCACCCCUGGUCCAGCUCUGUCCCACCCUCGAGGUCCCAGCCAUCCCCUGGACCUGGGGACCUCCUCUCCUAACACCUCUCAGAUACACUGGACCCCGUACCGGGCGAUGUACCAGUACAGGCCCCAGAAUGAAGACGAGCUGGAGCUGCGUGAGGGGGACAGGGUGGACGUCAUGCAGCAGUGUGACGAUGGCUGGUUUGUGGGUGUCUCCAGGAGGACCCAGAAAUUCGGAACGUUCCCUGGAAAUUACGUUGCCCCGGUGUGAGUGGUCUCCAUGGCAACUUGGAGCCAGCCAGGAUGGGGUGGGGAGCGGUGGCAGUCGUGGGAGGGAGAGGACCCCCGCCCACAUCCUCCUACCCCAGGACCUGCGCUCCCAGCAUCUGCAGACGACCCCCGCAGCCUUUCCCUCGGACCCCCCUCGAAGCCCCCUGGACUGAUUCCCACCCACCACUCACGGGCAUUCCUCCCACAGCCCUUUCAUUUCCUCCCCACCCCACUCCCCAAAUACAGAGGUCUGCUUUGAAGUGGAGACCAUUUCCAGGCCUUAUUGAGACCAGACCCCAAGUCCCCCACCCCCAUCCUGCU